RNAcentral lists this ribosomal RNA (253 nucleotides) under uncultured bacterium. Its description in RNAcentral is "partial 16S ribosomal RNA". It matches the Rfam family "Bacterial small subunit ribosomal RNA", at positions 524 to 776 of the family's 1533-position model. The record is from RNAcentral.
UACGUAGGGGGCAAGCGUUGUCCGGAUUUAUUGGGCGUAAAGAGCGUGUAGGCGGCCAUACAGGUCAGCUGUGAAAACUCGAGGCUCAACCUCGAGACGUCGGUUGAAACCGUUUGGCUAGAGUCCGGAAGAGGAGAGUGGAAUUCCCGGUGUAGCGGUGAAAUGCGCAGAUAUCGGGAGGAACACCUGUGGCGAAAGCGGCUCACUGGACCACAACUGACGCUGAGGCGCGAAAGCUAGGGGAGCAAACAGG